This 71-nucleotide transfer RNA is filed under the name Marmota monax (woodchuck). RNAcentral describes it as "tRNA.Ala". It matches the Rfam family "tRNA". Rfam says of the family: Transfer RNA (tRNA) molecules are approximately 80 nucleotides in length. The record is from RNAcentral. Lineage: Eukaryota; Metazoa; Chordata; Mammalia; Rodentia; Sciuridae.
GGGGCUGUAGCUCAGUGGUAGAGCUCUUGCCUUGCAUGUGUGAGGCACUGAGUUCGAUCCUCAGCACCACA